CUCAAAGGAAUUGACGGGGGCCCGCACAAGCGGCGGAGCAUGCGGAUUAAUUCGAUGCAACGCGAAGAACCUUACCAAGGCUUGACAUGAACCGGAAAGACCUGGAAACAGGUGCCCCGCUUGCGGUCGGUUUACAGGUGGUGCAUGGUUGUCGUCAGCUCGUGUCGUGAGAUGUUGGGUUAAGUCCCGCAACGAGCGCAACCCUCGUUCUAUGUUGCCAGCGCGUUAUGGCGGGGACUCAUAGGAGACUGCCGGGGUCAACUCGGAGGAAGGUGGGGACGACGUCAAAUCAUCAUGCCCCUUAUGUCUUGGGCUUCACGCAUGCUACAAUGGCCGGUACAAAGGGUUGCGAUACUGUGAGGUGGAGCUAAUCCCAAAAAGCCGGUCUCAGUUCGGAUUGGGGUCUGCAACUCGACCCCAUGAAGUCGGAGUCGCUAGUAAUCGCAGAUCAGCAACGCUGCGGUGAAUACGUUCCCGGGCCUUGUACACACCGCCCGUCAAGUCACGAAAGUUGGUAACACCCGAAGCCGGUGGCCUAACCCUUGUGGGGGGAGCCGUCGAAGGUGGGACCGGCGAUUGGGACUAAGUCGUAACAAGGUAGCCGUACCGGAAGGUGCGGCUGGAU
RNAcentral lists this ribosomal RNA (625 nucleotides) under bacterium TN51A. RNAcentral describes it as "bacterial SSU rRNA". It matches the Rfam family "Bacterial small subunit ribosomal RNA", at positions 900 to 1523 of the family's 1533-position model. The record is from RNAcentral.